UUGAGGAUUGGGGCGCCCGCGCUGCUGUAGGUUGCUGGUGGAGGACAGCGGGGCCGGGACUCGGAGAAAACGGAGAGUCGACACGGUGAGAGAUGGCGGCCGAGAGCUGACUCGUCCGUAGCACACACACCGCAUGUCACUUGCGGGCUCAGCGACACAACGCCCCAAAUACCCUAGAGGUUCGGAAAGGGCCCAAACCUGGGAGAUGCCCCCUUUCCUUGGGUCUGCUUUGAACAGCCAAUAGGAGGCGGUGUGUGAACAAGUGACAGGCAGAUAAAUCUUCCCCUGUGUGCUUAGAGAGGCCAUGUCCUAUCUCACCGCGGGUGCUGCUUAUAAGCAUUGGCCAAGGAUAUCUGACCAAAAUUCAGAUAAAGGAAUGGGAGACGAUCGCCCCUUUGUGUGCAGCGCCCCCGGCUGCGGGCAG
Long non-coding RNA from Bufo gargarizans (Asiatic toad), 424 nucleotides. RefSeq lists it as uncharacterized. The transcript has 3 exons. Lineage: Eukaryota; Metazoa; Chordata; Amphibia; Anura; Bufonidae. The record is from RefSeq and is a predicted model, not a curated record.